AGAAAAAGUGUCUCAUCCCUCA
RNAcentral lists this non-coding RNA (22 nucleotides) under Arabidopsis thaliana (thale cress). The record is from RNAcentral. Lineage: Eukaryota; Viridiplantae; Streptophyta; Magnoliopsida; Brassicales; Brassicaceae.